This 497-nucleotide ribosomal RNA is filed under the name uncultured bacterium. RNAcentral describes it as "partial 16S ribosomal RNA". It matches the Rfam family "Bacterial small subunit ribosomal RNA", at positions 28 to 507 of the family's 1533-position model. The record is from RNAcentral.
GACGAACGCUGGCGGCGUGCCUAAUACAUGCAAGUAGAACGCUGAAGAGAGGAGCUUACUCUUCUUGGAUGAGUUGCGAACGGGUGAGAAACGCGUAGGUAACCUGCCUUGUAGCGGGGGAUAACUAUUGGAAACGAUAGCUAAUACCGCAUAACAAUGGAUGACACAUGUCAUUUAUUUGAAAGGGGCAAUUGCUCCACUACAAGAUGGACCUGCGUUGUAUUAGCUAGUAGGUGAGGUAAUGGCUCACCUAGGCGACGAUACAUAGCCGACCUGAGAGGGUGAUCGGCCACACUGGGACUGAGACACGGCCCAGACUCCUACGGGAGGCAGCAGUAGGGAAUCUUCGGCAAUGGGGGCAACCCUGACCGAGCAACGCCGCGUGAGUGAAGAAGGUUUUCGGAUCGUAAAGCUCUGUUGUAAGUCAAGAACGGGUGUGAGAGUGGAAAGUUCACACUGUGACGGUAGCUUACCAGAAAGGGACGGCUAACUACGUG